Molecule: long non-coding RNA, 2863 nt
Organism: Urocitellus parryii (Arctic ground squirrel)
Lineage: Eukaryota; Metazoa; Chordata; Mammalia; Rodentia; Sciuridae
Source: RefSeq, a predicted model, not a curated record
GCCAGCGUCCCGACAGGGGUCAGCGUCCGCGCGCUGCGCGCUGCGGGCCAGGGCGCGCGGGACCCGGGGCUUGUGGCGCUGGAAAYGCGAGUUAACAGCGCCAUGGGUUCUCCGGGCAGGUCAAGGAUCGGGGCACUUUGAAGAUCCGCUAACCACGCCACGUUCCCUCGGCGAGAGACCCUGGAUGCUCCCGGAGGCAGCGGCGCGGCGAGAGGUGGGGCGGACCCCCGCCAGCGCCGGCGCGGGGGGCGCGGUGGCUGAGCGGUGCUGCGCGUCCCUGGGCGCAGGAACCCGAGGGCCGAGAYCCGAGCCACUCCACUCCACUCACAGCGCCAGUUUUUGCCGAGCAGCCCGCUUGGGGCGAGAGAUGGGGUUGGGGAGCAAGGGAUCAGCUAGGAAAGCAGGGGUCGCCUGUGGCUGAGAGGCGCGGGGGGGAAGCCUGAAGCUCUGGAAGGGACUUUGAGAUGAGGCUCUGUUCCUGUACACAGUAGGUGUGCAGUGACCAUUGCAUUGAACGGACGGCCAAACUACAGCGUGGCAUUGUAAAUCACUUUCCRUUGUACUUGGAACAAAAAUCAAACUCCUUCCUGAGGCCCAAGGUUCCGGCUAUGGCCUGGCCAUCUGCYCCAAUGGGUUCUGGAUGCUGAAUGUCUGUCCGCGACCGAACGCUGCUUGCACUGUCCUGAAAGGGGGACCUUGAGCAAACGACUUAACCUCUUUGACCUCAGUUUCCACAGCUGUAAAUGGGGUCAAUAAUGGAACCCUACACUCAAGGACCUUGAUGCGCUUUCACACAGUAYUUAAAAUGGUGCUUGCCUCAUAGAAAAGUGCCUGAUAAAUGUUAGGAGGAUUCACUGCACCUGGGCCAUGUCCGCAUUUUCCAUCUUCCUGGACCUCCCUGAACGCAUUCCUGCCUCUGCCCCUGCAGGCAGAGAAUUUGCCUUUCUCUGUCAUGGCUUCUGCUUCAGGCCUUCACUCAACUGUCACCCCAAGGCGUCUUCACUGUCAUGGACCAUCCUGCUCAUCGUUAACUUAAAGCUCUGUGUUCUUGCCAGUACUGAUCCUGAUCUGAACAGUUUUCACCUUUUUCUUGGCCUUUAUUGCCUGUCUUCUCCCCGAAGUGUAAGUUCUACAGGAAUGGAACCUUUCUUCUCUGCAGGCUCUCAGCACGUUGCUCAGUACSUGAAAUGUAGUAGGUGCUCAAGGAAGCCCAGGAAAUGGAUGAAUGGAGUYACUUCCUCUCGGACCUCAACACCAGAGUGGUUGAACUUGUUAUCUCUUAUGGGCCCAAGUCUGUUGUUCAAGGAUAUAAGCAAAAUCAUCCACGUGGAAAUUUUUAUUUUCAAAAUGAGAAAAUAACAAUUUGCUAAAGAGAUCUAGGUUCUCAGGCAGAACUACAGACUGUUCUCAAUGAUGUCAACUUUCGUCCCUACCUGGGUCUGACAUUGGCGGGAACCAGUUUCUGAGAACUCCUCCCAUCCUCCCUGAGCCAGGGGACCAGGCCUGACAGGUGGCUAAGGCCCUUCUAGAUCUCUUCCCUAGUUUUGCCUGACCUUCACCCUCAGUUGAGGGUUUGCUGGUUCUGGGCCAGUUUGGUCCUAGGACCCUAUAGAUGUCCCUGUCCUGAGCAAGCCCUGCCUGCUUUCCUCCUGUAGGUCCGGGAGUGCCCUUCCUCCUCCAGUGACGACAUCUUGUGCAGGGUCUUUCCUUUGGCCUCCUGGACAGAGCUCCUCUGCCCUUUCCAUUGCUCUUCUUUGAUGUUAGUUAUAGAUUCACACUUGCUCUUUCUCCUUCAGAGCAGCUGCUUUAUACCGGUUCCUGCUGGGCUACCAGACCCCUUCUCCCCUGCCAGGGCCGAGAAGCUGGGUGAGGCUGCCUCAGCAGCUCAAUUCAAGAUACAGGACACACCAAAGUCAAAAUGGAGAGCCUUGAACGCUCCCUGUGGAGAGAGGCGAGUCUGGUGUGUACUCCUGGCCUCACUGCCCACUACCCUGUGAUCCUGGGCCUUCUGCAAUUUCCUGAGCUCCUCCCCACUGCCAUAAUUUGAGGUCCCCAGUGUGCAGGGGAGGUGUGAAGAUGCCAGCCCCGGGGGUCCCCUCACUGAGGAGGUGGCCGGAGCCUCCAGCUGGGGGCAGUGCACUGGCCAGAAUGGCGAGCGUCCAGGGUCCCAAGCUGCGUGCUGGAGCYGUGCAUGCCGAGUGCUUUAGAUGAMUUAUUUCAUUGAGUUCUGCUAAUUUCCUUAUGAACCAGGGGCUACUAUUGUCACCAUUUUAUAGGGGGGUGGGAACCAAGUCUCUGCCAGAGUAACUCCUUUUCCCAAGUUUUCACCGUUUAAAGACAUGGAGGCUGGGUGCCAUUUCAAUUCCGUUUCCUGUGGAGCAGCCCCUUGCCAGGCCACCCUCUGCCAUUUCAUCAAAUUUUGGUGGGGGAGCCCUACCUGUCAUCAAGCAGAAUUACAUGUUUGAAUGAACACCUACUAUGUGCAAACUCUGGUCAGAAGCCCUGUCAUCACACAGGGAGGACCCAGCCGGUCCCUAGGCAUGGUAUCCUGGUAGAGAAAGGAGCUUUUUACCUCUGCCUCUAUCCCCGCCAAACCCGCACCAUGGAAGGGGUAACGUGGACCGCAAUGCAUUAUAAUACGCUGUCACCCUCAGAGGAGAGAGAGACCCCACAGGCAGGGGCAGAGGUGGUUUCCCGGAGAAGUGGAAUCAAGAUGAACUGUGUCUGUUUGGACUUGAAUACCUGCUGGCUGAGUGACCUUGGCAAGUGACCUGCCCUCUCUGAGUCUAUUCUGCCUGCUCUAAGGUGGAGAUAACAAAGGUACCGACCUUGCAGGAUUGUCAGGAGGAGUAAGUGAAUUAAU